RNAcentral lists this long non-coding RNA (421 nucleotides) under Homo sapiens (human). RNAcentral's name for it is "non-protein coding lnc-STAG1-3:1". The record is from RNAcentral. Lineage: Eukaryota; Metazoa; Chordata; Mammalia; Primates; Hominidae.
AUUUUUGUUCGUUCGUUUCAACUGGAGCAGUGCUCCUGCCAGCUAGUGGAAACCCACGGAUGCCAGUAAACAUCCUACCACACACAGAUGAUAAAACUGAGGCUGCAAGAAUUUAAGUGACUUGCCCAAGGACACAUCAAGACUUGAACUCAGGAAAGUCUGGCCACAAAGGCUGGCGGCUCCCUGUCCACCUGGCUGAAGGGAACAUCCCCUGUUCUAGUGUUUGGGCCUGUCCUCUCAUUCCCCAGAGGAGCCCCCUUUCCCAGAAAGGAAGAAAGCCUGAGAUUUUCCUUCCUUAGACUUGUCGUCAUCACGCACCGCCCUGCUUCCAUCUUCCCUUCAAAAAGAAAAAGAAACCAAUCUGUCAGUUUCUGGGACUUGUAGUUGACAGACAUGCCGUUUUAUUCAAUUCAUGACCUUG